Molecule: ribosomal RNA, 253 nt
Filed under: uncultured bacterium
Lineage: Bacteria
Description: partial 16S ribosomal RNA
Rfam family: Bacterial small subunit ribosomal RNA
Source: RNAcentral
UACGGAGGGGGCUAGCGUUGUUCGGAAUUACUGGGCGUAAAGCGCACGUAGGCGGCUUUGUAAGUUAGAGGUGAAAGCCCAGGGCUUAACCCUGGAAUUGCCUUUAAGACUGCAUCGCUAGAAUCGUGGAGAGGUGAGUGGAAUUCCGAGUGUAGAGGUGAAAUUCGUAGAUAUUCGGAGGAACACCGGUGGCGAAGGCGGGUCUCUGGGCCGUUACUGACGCUGAGGAGCGAAAGCGUGGGGAGCGAACAGG